RNAcentral lists this ribosomal RNA (406 nucleotides) under uncultured bacterium. RNAcentral describes it as "partial 16S ribosomal RNA". It matches the Rfam family "Bacterial small subunit ribosomal RNA", at positions 30 to 526 of the family's 1533-position model. The record is from RNAcentral.
AUUGAACGCUGGCGGCAGGCCUAACACAUGCAAGUCGAACGAGUGGCGGACGGGUGAGUAAUGUCUGGGAAACUGCCUGAUGGAGGGGGAUAACUACUGGAAACUGUAGCUAAUACCGCGUACCAUAGGAUGAGCCCAAGUGGGAUUAGGUAGUUGGUGAGGUAAAGGCUCACCAAGCCGACGAUCUCUAGCUGGUCUGAGAGGAUGACCAGCCACACUGGGACGUAGACACGGCCCAGACUCCUACGGGAGGCAGCAGUGGGGAAUAUUGCGCAAUGGGGGCAACCCUGACGCAGCCAUGCCGCGUGUGUGAAGAAGGCCUUCGGGUUGUAAAGCACUUUCAGCGGGGAGGCGUUACCCGCAGAAGAAGCACCGGCUAACUCCGUGCCAGCCGCCGCGGUAAUAC